UGGGGAAUAUUGCACAAUGGGCGAAAGCCUGAUGCAGCGACGCCGCGUGGAGGAUGAAUGUCUUCGGAUUGUAAACUCCUGUUAAGUGGGAAGAAAGACCAAUACCUAAUACGUAUUGGGGAUGACGGUACCACUAGAGAAAGCACCGGCAAACUUCGUGCCAGCAGCCGCGGUAAUACGAAGGGUGCAAGCGUUAUUCGGAAUCACUGGGCGUAAAGAGCGUGAAGGCGGUUUUCUAAGUCAUCUGUUAAAUAGCUCGGCUUAACUGAGCACUUGCGGGUGAAACUGGGAGACUAGAGUACAGAAGAGAAGAGUGGAAUUCUCGGAGUAGCGGUAAAAUGCGUAGAUCUCGAGAGGAACACCGGUUGCGAAGGCGGCUCUUUGGUCUGUUACUGACGCUCAAGCGCGAAAGCGUGGGGAGCAAACAGG
Molecule: ribosomal RNA, 429 nt
Filed under: uncultured bacterium
Lineage: Bacteria
Description: bacterial SSU rRNA
Rfam family: Bacterial small subunit ribosomal RNA
Source: RNAcentral